RNAcentral lists this ribosomal RNA (515 nucleotides) under uncultured bacterium. RNAcentral's name for it is "bacterial SSU rRNA". It matches the Rfam family "Bacterial small subunit ribosomal RNA", at positions 15 to 518 of the family's 1533-position model. The record is from RNAcentral.
GAUUCUGGCUCAGGAUGAACGCUAGCUACAGGCUUAACACAUGCAAGUCGAGGGGCAGCAUGAGAUUAGCUUGCUAAUCUUGAUGGCGACCGGCGCACGGGUGAGUAACGCGUAUCCAACCUUCCCCUUAGUAGGGCAUAGCCCGGCGAAAGUCGGAUUAAUACCCUAUGUUCUUCGUAGAGGACAUCUGAAAUGAAGCAAAGAUUUAUCGCUAAGGGAUGGGGAUGCGUCUGAUUAGGUAGUCGGCGGGGUAACGGCCCACCGAGCCUGCGAUCAGUAGGGGUUCUGAGAGGAAGGUCCCCCACAUUGGAACUGAGACACGGUCCAAACUCCUACGGGAGGCAGCAGUGAGGAAUAUUGGUCAAUGGGCGCGAGCCUGAACCAGCCAAGUAGCGUGCAAGGAUGACGGCCCUAUGGGUUGUAAACUGCUUUUAUGCGGGGAUAAAGUGCACCACGUGUGGUGUUUUGUAGGUACCGCAUGAAUAAGGACCGGCUAAUUCCGUGCCAGCAGCGGC